Molecule: transfer RNA, 67 nt
Filed under: bovine gut metagenome
Rfam family: tRNA
About the family: Transfer RNA (tRNA) molecules are approximately 80 nucleotides in length. Their secondary structure includes four short double-helical elements and three loops (D, anti-codon, and T loops).
Source: RNAcentral
AGAGUAGCUCAGUUGGUAGAGCACAAGCUUCCCAAGCUUGGGGUCGCGGGUUCGAGUCCCGUUUCUC